Molecule: ribosomal RNA, 237 nt
Filed under: uncultured bacterium
Lineage: Bacteria
Description: partial 16S ribosomal RNA
Rfam family: Bacterial small subunit ribosomal RNA
Source: RNAcentral
CGACGUAGGUAAUCCUACCCCAAAGUCUGGAAUAACCGGCCGAAAGGCUGGCUAAUACUGGAUAGAGCGACGGAAUCCGUAAUUGGGUUUUUCGGGAAAGGGAGGGAGCAAUCCCCCUCGCUUUAGGAUGAGCCUGCGUCCCAUCAGCUAGUUGGUAAGGUAAUGGCUUACCAAGGCUUUGACGGGUAGCUGGUCUGAGAGGAUGAUCAGCCACACUGGAACUGAAACACGGUCCAG